Molecule: ribosomal RNA, 235 nt
Filed under: uncultured bacterium
Lineage: Bacteria
Description: partial 16S ribosomal RNA
Rfam family: Bacterial small subunit ribosomal RNA
Source: RNAcentral
GAUCCUGGCUCAGGACGAACGCUGGCGGCGUGCCUAAUACAUGCAAGUCGAACGAGAGCGACCGGUGCUUGCACUGGUCAAUCUAGUGGCGAACGGGUGAGUAACACGUGGGUAACCUGCCCAUCAGAGGGGGAUAACAUCCGGAAACGGAUGCUAAAACCGCAUAGGUCUUCGAGCCGCAUGGCUUGAAGAGGAAAAGAGGCGCAAGCUUCUGCUGAUGGAUGGACCCGCGGUG